Molecule: transfer RNA, 71 nt
Filed under: Marmota monax (woodchuck)
Lineage: Eukaryota; Metazoa; Chordata; Mammalia; Rodentia; Sciuridae
Description: tRNA.Ala
Source: RNAcentral
GGGGUUGUGGCUCUGAGGUCGAGUGCUUGCCUAGCAUGUGCAAGGCACUGGGUUCGAUUCUCAGUACCUCA